GGGGGAUAACCAUUGGAAACGAUGGCUAAUACCGCAUAAUGCCUACGGGCCAAAGAGGGGGACCUUCGGGCCUCUCGCGUCAAGAUAUGCCUAGGUGGGAUUAGCUAGUUGGUGAGGUAAUGGCUCACCAAGGCGACGAUCCCUAGCUGGUCUGAGAGGAUGAUCAGCCACACUGGAACUGAGACACGGUCCAGACUCCUACGGGAGGCAGCAGUGGGGAAUAUUGCACAAUGGGCGAAAGCCUGAUGCAGCCAUGCCGCGUGUAUGAAGAAGGCCUUCGGGUUGUAAAGUACUUUCAGUUGUGAGGAAGGGGGUAACGUUAAUAGCGUUAUCUCUUGACGUUAGCAACAGAAGAAGCACCGGCUAACUCCGUGCCAGCAGCCGCGGUAAUACGGAGGGUGCGAGCGUUAAUCGGAAUUACUGGGCGUAAAGCGCAUGCAGGUGGUUCAUUAAGUCAGAUGUGAAAGCCCGGGGCUCAACCUCGGAACUGCAUUUGAAACUGGUGAACUAGAGUGCUGUAGAGGGGGGUAGAAUUUCAGG
Molecule: ribosomal RNA, 540 nt
Filed under: Vibrio sp. E21-2bio
Lineage: Bacteria; Pseudomonadati; Pseudomonadota; Gammaproteobacteria; Vibrionales; Vibrionaceae
Description: bacterial SSU rRNA
Rfam family: Bacterial small subunit ribosomal RNA
Source: RNAcentral